RNAcentral lists this ribosomal RNA (253 nucleotides) under uncultured bacterium. Its description in RNAcentral is "partial 16S ribosomal RNA". It matches the Rfam family "Bacterial small subunit ribosomal RNA", at positions 524 to 776 of the family's 1533-position model. The record is from RNAcentral.
GACAGAGGGUGCAAGCGUUGCUCGGAAUCACUGGGCGUAAAGGGCGUGUAGGCGGCUAGAUAAGUCGGGCGUGAAAUCCCCAGGCUCAACCUGGGAACUGCACUCGAAACUGUUUAUCUUGAGUGCCGGAGAGGAAAGCGGAAUUCCUGGUGUAGAGGUGAAAUUCGUAGAUAUCAGGAGGAACACCAGUGGCGAAGGCGGCUUUCUGGACGGUAACUGACGCUGAGACGCGAAAGCGUGGGGAGCAAACAGG